GCAUCGAUGGUUCAGUGGUAGAAUGCUCGUCUGCCACGCGGGCGGCCCGGGUUCGAUUCCCGGUCGAUGCA
RNAcentral lists this transfer RNA (71 nucleotides) under Octopus vulgaris (common octopus). It matches the Rfam family "tRNA". Rfam says of the family: Transfer RNA (tRNA) molecules are approximately 80 nucleotides in length. Lineage: Eukaryota; Metazoa; Mollusca; Cephalopoda; Octopoda; Octopodidae. The record is from Rfam by way of RNAcentral. RNAcentral also lists the same sequence under 2 other names.